This 425-nucleotide unclassified non-coding RNA is filed under the name soil metagenome. RNAcentral's name for it is "partial contains 5.8S ribosomal RNA, internal transcribed spacer 2, and large subunit ribosomal RNA". The stretch from base 1 to 120 matches the Rfam family "5.8S ribosomal RNA", at positions 35 to 154 of the family's 154-position model. The record is from RNAcentral.
GAUGAAGAACGUAGCGAAAUGCGAUAAGUAGUGUGAAUUGCAGAAUUCCGUGAAUCAUCGAAUCUUUGAACGCACAUUGCGCCUUCUGGUAUUCCGGAAGGCAUGCCUGUUCGAGAGUCAUUAACAACCGUUUCGAUCCCUUUCUUUCAGAAAUUACAAAGAGGAAAAGGGUUUGGUUAUGGUGGAGGAGGGAAAGGGAGCGUUUAGCCUGUAAAAAAAGAGGCUGUGUUCCGCCUCCCCCCCAAAAUUGUACAGGCGGUCGUGUGCGCCCACGCAUCGAGGUGUUGUAAAAGCUGCCACGGCACCUUUCACCUGUGCAGUGCGAGAUUGGCCAGCCGGUUUAAAAACCCCUCCAAACAAUCAAAGGUUGACCUCGGAUCAGGUAGGGAUACCCGCUGAACUUAAGCAUAUCAAUAAGCGGAGGA